This 1935-nucleotide long non-coding RNA is filed under the name Homo sapiens (human). RNAcentral's name for it is "HSALNT0078775". Lineage: Eukaryota; Metazoa; Chordata; Mammalia; Primates; Hominidae. The record is from RNAcentral.
UGAGUGUCUUACUGCUAACCUGUGUGGGGGACAGGACAAGGGGGUGUCGAUGUUGUAGAAGGAAAUGAUAGGCUGGGCGCGGUGACUCACACUUCAAAACAUAUUCUUUCCAACAUUUAUAUUUUUCUUUCUCAGAUGUUUCUGGUACUCAGAAAAAUCAGGAACAUCAUUUUCAAUCUGAAGAAUUAAAUAAGAAAUUCAAUAAAGCAGGAUAAGAAAAUGGCUGGCAUGUUUUCCCAUUACCUAGAAUAGCUCUGUGGAGACCAACCAUUCCAUGAAAACAACUGCAAAACAGGAUAAUCCAGUAAAAACAUCUGCUGAAAGGCAUCAGAAAACUAGCAAGGCAGCAAGACUGAGAAGCCAAGAUAGCAGAAAGAAGGGUGUGCAGAGAGGUCAGCUCAGUAUUCGGUGCCACUUUUCCUUGAGGCAUUUGUCAACUCCUAAACAGCAGCCUAAAGAUGAAGGAGCUGAGCAGAUAUUCUAAGAGUUUCACGGGGAUAAGGAAUAACAUGGAAGCUUAAGACCCAAUAAGAAGCAGACAAAAUAUCCCAGCAUUUCAGUUGGAACCCUGGAUGGGAUUCAUUUCAGGAGUAAUAGGGAACCAGAAACAAAGGACGGUCAUGAAGAUUCAAGCCCACUGAGAUUAGACUAGCUGAUCUGCCUCUACCCUAACUUUCAACCAGAAAGAAAAUAAACCCGCUAGCAGUAACACCAUCUAGAGUCUGGAAUUAUCUCUGAAAAUUUUCACAUACCAUAUCCUGAUUUCAAUAAAAAAUUAUCAGUCAUAUUAAGAAGCAAAAUAAAUGAUCAAAAGCCAAGAGGAAAAAAAUCAAGUAAAAGAAACGAGCCAACAGGAGACAGGACACGGUGGCUCACGCCUGUAAUCCCAGCACCACAAGGUGGGUGGAUCACUUGAGGUCAAGAGUUUGAGAUCUGCCCGGCCAAAAUGGUGAAACCCCAUCUCUACUAAAAAUACAAAAAUUAGCCGGGCAUAGUGGUGGGUGCCUGUAAUCCCAGCUACUUGGGAAGUUGAGGCAUGAGAAUUGCUUCAACCCGGGAGGCGGAGGUUCCAGUGAGCUGAGGUUGUGCCUCUGCACUCCAGCUUGGCUGACAGAGCAAGACUCUGUCAAAAAAAGAAAAAGAAAAAAGAAAAGAAAGAAGCCAACAGGAGAUCCAGAUGUUGAAAGUUUUCGAUAUGGAUUUUUAAAUUACUACAGUUAAUAUGGUCAAGAAAUUUGCUGGUAGUAUGAAUAAUUUCAAAAAAGGACUGGAAAUUUCAGAACAGAAUCAAGUGGAAAUUCUAGAACUGAAAAUUAGAAAAACUGCAAUCAGACAUCAAAAGAUAGGACUAAGGCCAUUUAUGGAAUAUGGUCUGAAAGGUCUAAAAUAUAUGUAACUGGAGUUCCAGAGAAGAGGUAACAAGAGACUAGAACAGAGGUAAUAUCUGAAGAAGAAGUAGCUGAAGAAUUUCCAAGUGAUAAAAGUCACAGUUCACAAAAUACUACUGUGCCCAACUGGGAAAAAUUCAAAACAACCGCCUAACCACAUAAAAAGAAAGCUAUCUAAAAAGACAAAGAGGAAAAUCUUUGCAGAUAGAAAAAAAAACACACAUAAUACUUUUAAAAGGAAUAAUCAUCAGUCUGACAGUUAAUUUCACAAUUGAAAUAUUGGAAGCCAGAUGACAACAAGCAUCUUCAAAACAUUAAAAGAAAAUAACUGCAGCCUAGAAUUUUGUAUCUAACAAAAAUAUUCCCCCAAAUAAAUGUUAAAUAAAAACAUUUUUAUACAAGCACAAAACGAAAAGAAACUGUAAUCCCAGCACUUUGGGAGGCCGAGGAGGUCGGAUCACAAGGUCAGGAGAUCGAGACCAUCCUGGCCAACACGGUGAAACCCCAUCUCUACUAAAAAUACAAAGAAUUAGCCGGGCAGGAUUUC